This 254-nucleotide ribosomal RNA is filed under the name uncultured bacterium. Its description in RNAcentral is "partial 16S ribosomal RNA". It matches the Rfam family "Bacterial small subunit ribosomal RNA", at positions 524 to 776 of the family's 1533-position model. The record is from RNAcentral.
UACGUAGGGUGCUAGCGUUGUCCGGAUUUAUUGGGCGUAAAGAGCUCGUAGGUGGUUCGGUACGUCGGAUGUGAAAUCUCCAGGCUCAACCUGGAGGGGUCAUUCGAUACUGCCGUGACUAGAGUUCGGUAGGGGAGUGUGGAAUUCCUGGUGGAGCGGUGAAAUGCGCAGAUAUCAGGAGGAACACCGGUAGCGAAGGCGGCACUCUGGGCCGAUACUGACACUGAGGAGCGAAAGCGUGGGGAGCGAACAGG